This 2604-nucleotide ribosomal RNA is filed under the name Triticum aestivum (bread wheat). Its description in RNAcentral is "partial small subunit ribosomal RNA". Lineage: Eukaryota; Viridiplantae; Streptophyta; Magnoliopsida; Poales; Poaceae. The record is from RNAcentral.
AUGGCGGCCGUCGGCAGGCUGCCGAGCGCGGUGGUGGCCCUGCUGCUCGCGCUGCUCUGCCUGGCGGGGACGUCGGUGGCGACCAACGUGACGUACGACCACCGCGCGCUGGUCAUCGACGGCGUGCGCCGCGUGCUCGUCUCCGGCUCCAUCCACUACCCGCGGAGCACCCCCGACAUGUGGCCGGGGCUGAUGCAGAAGGCCAAGGACGGCGGCCUGGACAUGGUGGAGACGUACGUCUUCUGGGACGUCCACGAGCCCGUCCGGGGACAGUACGACUUCGAGGGCAGGAAUGACCUGGUGAGGUUCGUCAAGGCCGCCGCCGACGCCGGGCUCUACGUGCACCUCAGGAUCGGCCCCUACGUCUGCGCCGAGUGGAACUACGGAGGCUUCCCGCUAUGGCUGCACUUCAUCCCGGGGAUCAAGUUCCGCACCGACAACGAGCCUUUCAAGACGGAGAUGCAGCGGUUCACGGAGAAGGUGGUGGCGACGAUGAAGGGCGCGGGGCUGUACGCGUCGCAGGGCGGGCCCAUCAUCCUGUCGCAGAUCGAGAACGAGUACGGCAACAUCGACGCGUCCUACGGCGCGCCCGGGAAGUCGUACAUCCGCUGGGCCGCCGGGAUGGCCGUCGCGCUCGACACCGGCGUGCCCUGGGUCAUGUGCCAGCAGGCCGACACGCCGGCGCCCCUGAUCAACACGUGCAACGGGUUCUACUGCGACCAGUUCACGCCGAGCCUGUCCAGCAGGCCCAAGCUGUGGACGGAGAACUGGAGCGGCUGGUUCCUCUCCUUCGGUGGCGCCGUGCCCUACCGCCCCACCGAGGACCUCGCCUUCGCCGUCGCGCGCUUCUACCAGCGCGGUGGCACCCUGCAGAACUACUACAUGUACCACGGCGGGACCAACUUCGGCCGCAGCUCGGGAGGGCCGUUCAUCUCCACGAGCUACGACUACGACGCCCCCAUCGACGAGUACGGGCUAGUGAGGCAGCCAAAGUGGGGCCACUUGAGGGAUGUCCAUAAGGCGAUAAAGAUGUGCGAGCCUGCACUCAUAGCAACUGAUCCAUCAUACAUGUCCCUUGGUCAAAAUGCUGAGGCACACGUAUACAAGGCCGGUUCAUUGUGUGCGGCAUUCCUCGCGAAUAUAGACAAUCAGUCUGACAAGACUGUCACCUUCAACGGCAAGGCGUAUAAACUCCCUGCGUGGUCCGUCAGCAUCCUUCCUGACUGCAAGAAUGUGGUGCUGAACACUGCCCAGAUCAACUCUCAGGUAGCAUCUACACAGAUGAGAAACCUGGGGUUCAGCACUCAAGCAUCUGACGGCUCGUCCGUCGAAGCAGAACUCGCUUCUUCUACCUGGAGCUACGCCGUUGAGCCUGUUGGUAUCACAAAGGAGAAUGCCAUGACAAAGCCUGGGCUGAUGGAGCAGAUAAACACCACCGCGGACGCCAGCGAUUUCCUGUGGUACUCAACAAGCAUCAUCGUGGCGGGUGAUGAACCGUAUCUGAAUGGUAGUCAGUCCAAUCUGCUUGUCAACUCACUUGGGCAUGUUCUUCAGGUCUUCGUCAAUGGCAAGUUUGCAGGUAGCAGUAAGGGUAGUGCUACGAGCUCCCUGAUCUCAUUGACAACACCAGUUACACUUGUACCUGGAAAGAAUAAAAUAGAUCUUCUGAGUGCGACAGUUGGUCUGACGAACUAUGGUGCAUUCUUUGACCUAGUUGGUGCUGGAAUUACCGGUCCAGUAAAGCUGACUGGACCGAAGGGUACGCUUGAUCUAUCUUCUGCGGAUUGGACAUACCAGUAUUGUUGCCUUUUUCCUUAUCAAAAUAUUUGGUCACUCCAGAUUGGACUCAGAGGAGAAGACUUGCACCUGUAUAAUCCUUCAGAGGCCUCUCCAGAAUGGGUAUCAGAUAACUCUUACCCAACCAAUAACCCUUUGACCUGGUACAAGAGCAAAUUUACAACUCCUGCAGGCGAUGAUCCUGUUGCCAUAGACUUCACAGGAAUGGGGAAAGGUGAGGCGUGGGUGAACGGGCAGAGCAUUGGUCGGUACUGGCCAACAAAUAUUGCUCCACAAAGUGGCUGUGUUAAUUCAUGCAACUACAGAGGACCUUACAGCGCAAGCAAAUGCCAGAAGAAAUGUGGACAGCCAUCGCAGAUUUUGUAUCAUGUGCCCCGUUCGUUUCUCCAACCAGGCAGCAAUGAUAUAGUCCUUUUCGAGCAGUUUGGUGGUGACCCAAGCAAGAUAUCCUUCACGACAAAACAGACAGAAAGCGUAUGCGCACACGUGUCUGAGGAUCAUCCCGACCAAAUCGAUAGCUGGAUCUCUCCCCAGCAGAAAUUACAGAGGUCUGGGCCAGCACUUCGUCUGGAAUGCCCCAAAGAAGGUCAGGUCAUCAGCAGUAUCAAGUUUGCAAGCUUCGGGACACCGAGUGGCACCUGUGGGAGCUACAGCCAUGGCGAAUGCAGCAGCUCUCAGGCUCUGGCAGUCGCUCAGGAGGCAUGCGUUGGGGUGAGCAGUUGCAGUGUGCCGGUGUCAGCAAAGAACUUCGGAGAUCCAUGCAGAGGAGUCACAAAAAGCCUUGUGGUCGAAGCUGCAUGCUCAUGA